Molecule: long non-coding RNA, 4491 nt
Filed under: Phaseolus vulgaris (common bean)
Lineage: Eukaryota; Viridiplantae; Streptophyta; Magnoliopsida; Fabales; Fabaceae
Description: long non-coding RNA (PVUL_LNC004094)
Source: RNAcentral
AAAUGCUUUAUUAAUAUGAUCAUUUGAUUAUAGCAGAAUUGUAGUGGUUUUUAUAAAAUUAUUCUUAGUAGUUAUAUAAUUAUUCAUGGUUGUUAUAUUACCUUUAAUAGUUAUUGUUGUUGGAAAAAUAAUCUAGAAGUCCUUUGUUGGCUAAUGAUUCUCUAACAUUUUUUUAAAAAUUUUAUAGUAGUUGUAUUUUGAUUUGACAAUUUAGUUUAGUUUCUUUUAUUGACUCUUAUAGCUAAUUAAUAUUGACUUUCAUUAGAAUGUUGAUGAUGAUGUGAAUGAUGUGUUUUAAUGUUGAUUGUGUUGUGAUUCUAUUUUAUAAAAUAUUGUUUUAUGGUAAUCAUUAAUCAAUUGCUUUGUAUACACUCAUUUAUCAUAUUGCUGUAUGACAAAUCUUAAAGCCCUCUAAGAGAAAGGUUCCUGGGUUGCUUUGUGGAAAGUUUUAAACUCGCUCGCAAUGGUAAAGGAUGGAUCAAUGUGCUUUUAUGCAAGAAUUAUUAGUAAAUUCAUUUACGUGAAUUCUUAGUAUAAUUCUCUAGUUGAUUAUGACGAGUUUUUAACCUUUUCAGCUUAUGGCUGGUUCCCUAACAUUUCUUUUGCCUAUGGAUGAUAUGAAAAGCCCAACAAUCAAGGGCUCAACAUAAAGAAAGUCUUUUUUGAGUUUCCCUUCUAUUAUUCUUUUUGCUGGUAUUGAUAACAUAAGGAUUGAACUAUGAUGUGUUUAUCUGCAAUGGUGUUUGGAUUAGUUGGGUAACAUCGCAUAGUCAUCUUAUCAAAUUUCUAUACUUUGUCUUAAUAAGAGUGUUUAUUGUUUCCUUCAAUUUUUGGACUAUCGUUUCCUUCAAUUAAAUUUGGUGUUUGUGUUCAUUCCUUUUCAGCAAGUCCUGAGUCUUUGAGAUUUCUUUUGGUGGUUGAGGAACUACAGAAUGGUUGUAGAUCAGGAUAUCCUAAUUUCUCUAUACUUGAUCACCGAACAUUGAAUAGUGAUUUGUUCUUAUGCAGUAAACAUAAGGAUUUAAUUUUGAUUAUUUUCGUAUAAUGUCCUUUAUCUCAUGGAGUAUGUUAUGUGGCAUAAUAGUUUAAUUGUAAUUUGCUUCUUUGCAGCGUGAAAUUGGCUUACCGUAUUGCAUCUUAUGGGGUAUGUUAUGAGUGACCGUGUCUCCCUUAAUUUUUUAAUUUAUCUAAUAGUCCUUUAUUACCUGUUAUAGUUUUGUUGAAUUAUUGUUCUUUAUAGGGAUGUGUGGUAAUUAGCAAGAGCUCAGGACUAUUUGGUUUCAAUUUUUUUAUAACAAAACUUUAUUUUGCCUUUAUUAGUUUCCUUCAUUGACAAAUGAAUUUUGAACUUGGUUCUUGCAAAGCAUCAAUGUCCUUGCCUAAUUUGUGUUUCAAGAUUAUUGAUCUUUCGUAUUGAAGUUCUGAAAAUUUAGGUGGAGCAGUAUUGAAAAGAUGGAUCUUGAAGUUAUUCCUUUCAUUUUAGUAGUGUAAUUAGCAAGAGCUCAGGAUUAUUUGCCUCCAUUCUUUGAUUACAGAACUUUUUAUUUUGUUUGUUCCUGCAUCGACAAAUGAAUUUUGAACUUGUUCUUGCAUAAUUUAUCAUUGGGAGGAAAUGAAUUGGUGGUUUAGGUUUGGGAAACAGUGGAUCGGGACCCUGUGGAAAUUUAGGUUUUGUUCUAUGUUUAUUAUUUCUUUGCUGUUAUUAUUCACGGAUAAACUUGUGGACUGGGAAUGUUUACCUCUAUAUGACAGGCACUGUAAACGUCUGUGUCAGCUAUUUAAUUUUCUCUUUCUUGUCCACACUCAGACAUUUCUUUCAGCAACUGAGUCAUUUAAAAGAGAGUUUCGUUUCUUUUCAUGUUCUUUAUUGUCAAAAUAACCUUUCUUUCUUUCUUAUCAGCUAUAGUAUUUAGUUUCACUGUGAUCUCGGGAUGUGUUAUUUGGAAGUGAUGUGGUUAUUCAUCCAAGGAUUAAUGUGUUAUUUGGAAGUGAUGUGGUUAUUCAUUCAAGGAUUGAGUUCCAUUCUCUUCGACUUGCUUUUGUUUGUUGUGUUCAUUGCUAUCAAACAACUUUCUUCCUUUUAAAUGUAUGGAGUCUAUUUUUUUAAGAUGAAAUCCCCACUAAAUGUAAUGUUUUUUUUUUCUUUCUUUUUCAUCAUUGCCUAGUUAUUUCUGUUUCUCAUAGGCUUGGUCUCAUCCCUUCAACUUGCAUUUGUUUGUGUUCAUUGCUAUCAAACAGCUUUCUUCUUUUUAAAUGUAUGGAGCCUUUUUUGCUACGUCUAGAUGUUGAUUUUCUUGUGUUCAUUCAUUUUUAGGUGUUGAUUUGUUCGUGUUAAUUCCUUUUUAGCAUCUCGAGACUGCCGGAAUGGUUGAGGAUUAAAAUCUGAAAUUGUUUAGAACCACCAAUAAUUCAGGAUAACCUUCAACUUUGUUUUAGGUGUCAUUUGUUUUAUGUCUCUCUUUGUUUUAAAUGUCUUAUUGUCUCUAUACUUCAACUUUAUGAGCCGUUUGUAGCCUUCCUGAAUUCUUGGGGUGUACAGGACAAACAUGCAACAGAUGUGAGGUAGGAAAGAUGUGAGUAUCCUUGAAGCUUGAAUACUGGCAGGAGAUCCUUGAAGCUUUAGGUUUUGGUAUCCACACAUAUUUUUGUCUUUAAUUGGGACUGGCUAUUUGAAUUUCUCUGGUUUUUGAAUUCCUUCAAUUCAUUAAUUCAUUUUGUCCUUUCUUAAAUUCUGGGUCUUUAUUACCAAUAUCUAUUUGAAUUUAAAUAUAGUUCUUAAAUUUUUUAUGUAUAGGUGUUGAUUCGUUUGUGUUCAUUCCUUUUUAGCAUGUAAGACUGGUUGAGGAUUAAAAUCUGCAACUGUACACGAAAAAACAAGCAACGGAUGUGAGCUAGGAUAUCUGAAUACUGGAAGGACAUGCUUGAUUCUAUAGGUUAUCCAUACUCUUUGAUGACAGAUGUCUACUUGAGUUUGGAUGUAGUUAUUUAUUUGAUGACUGAGAUCUAUCAUAUGUAACUGUUUAUCUGCUUGUGUUAGUUCCUUUUCAGCAGGGGAUUCUGGUUUAGGAUAAAAAAACAUAAAUUUGAAUAUUGUUCUUGUCCGAUUAUCAAAAUAUGUAAAACCUAGCUAUUUGAUGUUGAUUCUUUUUUAGCACAUUAAAGGUUAAUAAUAAUACAAUACUCAGGGAAGAUGUCUCCUCUUUAUUUGAAACUUUGUAGAUUGAGCAUAUUUUUCGAGACUGAUAUAUGAGGUAGGAUGUGGAAACACUGGGAUUUGUGAAGCUUUAGGUUUUGUUAUCCUUACAUUUCUUAUGUUUUUAUUUGUGACUAACUAAACUUCUUGUUUGGAUGCUAAGUUUUGGUUGGAUUCAUUGCAGACCUUGUAGUGUGUCUGACAGUUCUUAUUGGUGUAUAUGUAGCAAUCACUAGCAGACUAUUAGAGGUCCUGUAAUUUGGGGAGGAUUUGUCUGACAGAAUUUCUAACAACUUAAUAUGAAGUACUGAAUUAAUAGUGAAAAAAAAGAUAAAGAAAAAAUAUCAUGGCCAUUAAAAGUUUAUGUUUCUUGUCCUGUUCAGCCAUGGCACUUGUCAGUGAGCUCUUGCUUCUUUCUCUAUUGCCCCAUAUGCAUACUUUUUCGCAUUUCUUACUCUUUUUUUAAGUUGUUCAUUUUUAAGUAAUUUAGGCUUCUCAUACUGGUUUCAUAGUGAAAUUUGAGCCUUUUACAUGGUGCCAUUGAAAUUAAGGAGGGAAUUAAUGAUCUUUAGUUUUAUAGUACUGAAUUAAUUUGGAUUUGCUUAGGUGUAGCAAAUUUGAAAGGUCAUUUUCUUAGUUAUUACUUCAUUUACUAAAUUAUCAAGAGCAUUGAACAAUUUGAUUUUGUAGUGUUUUGUUUGCUGCCUUGACAAAUGAAUCUUGCAUUCUAUUGUUUUUAGUAAUUUUGGGUUACAUUCUGAAUAUGACAUAUGAUGAUCUCUUAUAUCUUCCAAAAUGAGAAUGAUCUCCAACAUUAGAGCUGUAUUUAGUUCUAUCUCCAAUGUGAGAAUGAGAAAAUUGAGAGCUGUAUUUAGUUUUAUCUCCAAUUAUCUCUAAUAUUAGAAUGAGAAACAACAGUAGUUGAAAUGUUUUCUUGUAAUCUAUCUUCGUGUGCUAUGAUUCAGUUCUCUCUCCAUAUAUGAGAAUAAAAAAUGAGAAAGAGAAACAACAUUAUUUGGAAUGUUUUGUCGUAAUCUUCUUGCACUAUGAUUUUGUUCUCUCCCAAUAUGCGAAUGAGAAAAUGAAAAACAACAGUAUUUAGAAAGUUUUGUCGUAAUCUUGCGCUAUGAUUUGGUUCUCUCCUCAAUAUGCAAUGAGAAGAUGAGAAACAACAUUCCUUAACUUGUAAUUGAUUUUAUAUUAAUUGUUUAACUAUUCACUUCAUGUUUUUCUAAUUUGAAGAUAUCUCUUUACUAAAAACAAUGUAAUUAAUUUUAUAUUAAUUGUUUAGCUAUUCA